CAACAGUUCACAUCCCGGCUUGCAAGAGUUGCAUACAUGGCUAUAAAUCCACUGCAACUUUCAAUCCUCGUCUUCUAAUUUCCUCAAAAAUCAUAGCUGCUUCGUUUUGAGUUCCGAAUCCUCCGAGUAUAUAAACUUGAUUAAUGCCUCGAUCCUGAAUACUGUCGGCAAUCUUUGAGGUAUCAUGUCCUCCAUACGAUGUCUUCAAAAUGGUUCCGCCGUUGAUGCGUUUCCGUUGUCGUUGGAGUUGGCUGAUUUUUGUACAACUAAUGCUGACUCCAUCCACUCGACAGAAGAGAUACCGUCUGGUGAUGCAAGCUUCAAGGCCUCUCCUUUCAGCCCAUCCUGGAACUCAAACUUUAGAACCAUCUCUUGGAGCAUAAGCUGAGCGCCUUGAUCGAGCCUGCUGUUGUGUUGGCUGCGGUACAGGAAAAGCUGUAAUGGAAAAAUGGUUGCCUGAACUCAAGACCGGUGUUUUGAACGCUCGACAAAGUUUAGAAGACUGCAAAUAUGUCAGGGGACUGCUUGAUGUGGAUGGAAUUCAAUGGAGAUGCCGGAUUUGAAGACUGAAAAUUAGAAGCAUUCGUAAUGGUGUUUGGAGGUAGCAUUCUCAUUUCUCUUGGGCAAUAACGCUGGGUUGAUAUUAGGAAGAACACCACCGUGAGCAACGGUGACACCAGCCAACAAUUUUCCAAGUUCUACAUCAUUCCUUAUAGCCAACAGCAAAUGCCUUGGACUGAUUGGAAUAUGAAUGAUUGUUUACUAAAUUGUAUUGAAUGGAAUUUGAUGUAUUCUCAUCAGUUAGCUUGUUAGGAUUGAAUGGAUUUUGGAUAUGAAAUGGAUAUGAAAUGGAUUUUGGUUCCAAA
Long non-coding RNA from Lathyrus oleraceus (garden pea), 866 nucleotides. RefSeq lists it as uncharacterized. Lineage: Eukaryota; Viridiplantae; Streptophyta; Magnoliopsida; Fabales; Fabaceae. The transcript has 2 exons. The record is from RefSeq and is a predicted model, not a curated record.